Molecule: transfer RNA, 74 nt
Filed under: Candidatus Thorarchaeota archaeon AB_25
Lineage: Archaea; Promethearchaeati; Candidatus Thorarchaeota
Description: tRNA-Gly
Rfam family: tRNA
About the family: Transfer RNA (tRNA) molecules are approximately 80 nucleotides in length. Their secondary structure includes four short double-helical elements and three loops (D, anti-codon, and T loops). Further hydrogen bonds mediate the characteristic L-shaped molecular structure. tRNAs have two regions of fundamental functional importance: the anti-codon, which is responsible for specific mRNA codon recognition, and the 3' end, to which the tRNAs corresponding amino acid is attached (by aminoacyl-tRNA synthetases). tRNAs cope with the degeneracy of the genetic code in two manners: having more than one tRNA (with a specific anti-codon) for a particular amino acid; and 'wobble' base-pairing, i.e. permitting non-standard base-pairing at the 3rd anti-codon position.
Source: RNAcentral
GCGGCCAUAGUCUAGCCUGGUUAGGAUUGAAGCCUUCCAAGCUUCCGAGGCGGGUUCAAAUCCCGCUGGCCGCA